AAUUUAAUUUAUCAGUUGCCAUGGUUUAACAAAGUCUGGUUUUCAGCUGGGAGGGGGGAUGGUUCCCAGGGGGGACCUGGCAGAGCUAAUCAGCGGGCUAGGUUUGAAGAUUGACACAUGGUUAAACCACUUAAAAGCGUUGAAUACGCCUCUGUGGAAAAACACAUUUAAAGACAAAAAGCACAGGAAUGUUCUCUUGGCUUCCAGCCUGGGAACAGGUAACCAGCCUGGGAACAGGUAAACGGCCUGGGAACAGGUAAACGGCCUGGGAACAGGUAACUAGCUUGAGAACAGGCCUGGGAACAGGUAAACGGCCUGGGAACAGGCCCUGCAUGAAGGAAAGGCGCAGGGGUGGCACAGAGUGACUCGCAAAGUGCCAGCGUGAACCACGUGAUCAGCAGCAAGAGACACAGAGAUUCCUCAAUCGCAGAGCCUAGAUGAGAUCAACCUUUCAACACUGCAGAACUCUUUUAUAAAAACUGUUUCAAUUAAUAAAGCUCGAGAACAAACA
Non-coding RNA from Cyanistes caeruleus (blue tit), 511 nucleotides. Lineage: Eukaryota; Metazoa; Chordata; Aves; Passeriformes; Paridae. The record is from RefSeq and is a predicted model, not a curated record.